This 660-nucleotide ribosomal RNA is filed under the name uncultured archaeon. Its description in RNAcentral is "bacterial SSU rRNA". It matches the Rfam family "Archaeal small subunit ribosomal RNA", at positions 82 to 725 of the family's 1478-position model. The record is from RNAcentral.
CAUACGGCUCAGUAACACGUGGCUAACCUACCCUUGAGACGGAGACAACCCCGGGAAACUGGGGCUAAUCCCAGAUAGAUGAGAACUCCUGGAACGGGUUCUCGUCCAAAAAGCGUCUAAGCCAUGCUUUUAGGCGUUGCUCAAGGAUGGGGCCGCGACCGAUCAGGCUGUUGGUGAGGUAACGGCUCACCAAACCUUUAACCGGUACGGGCCGUGGGAGCGGGAGCCCGGAGAUGGGAACUGAGACAAGGUCCCAGGCCCUACGGGGCGCAGCCGUUGCGAAAACUUGUCAAUGCACGAAAGUGUGAACAGGCUACCCCGAGUGCUGUCCGCUGAGGAUGGCUUUUCUCUGCUGUUAAAAGGCGGGGGAAUAAGGAGAGGGCAAGUCUGGUGUCAGCCGCCGCGGUAAUACCAGCUCUCCGAGUGGUAGGGAUGAUUAUUGGGCUUAAAGCGUCCGUAGCCUGCCUUUCAAGUCUCUCGUUAAAUCCGGCGAUUUAAUCGUUGGACUGCGGGAGAUACUGUUAGGCUAGGAGGCGGGAGAAGCCGACGGUAUUUCCGGGGUAGGGGUAAAAUCCUAUAAUCCCGGGAGGACCACCAGUGGCGUAGGCGGUCGGCUAGCACGCGCUCGACGGUGAGGGACGAAAGCUGGGGGAGCAAACC